Molecule: non-coding RNA, 161 nt
Filed under: bovine gut metagenome
Source: RNAcentral
GCGACGGUUGGGAGAGAGGAAGCAAUAGCGAAAUCGUGGCUUGACGAACAGGAAUCAGAUACUAAGGCGUAUCAAGCGGACAAGUCGGCAAAACGCGACGAAGUUCCCAAAGGUGACCGUAACCUUGAUGCGUAAAUCUGGCGAGUAAACGAUGAAAGAUG